This 426-nucleotide ribosomal RNA is filed under the name uncultured bacterium. RNAcentral describes it as "bacterial SSU rRNA". It matches the Rfam family "Bacterial small subunit ribosomal RNA", at positions 356 to 773 of the family's 1533-position model. The record is from RNAcentral.
GGGGAAUUGUUCGCAAUGGGCGCAAGCCUGACGACGCAACGCCGCGUGGGGGAUGAAGGUCUUCGGAUUGUAAACCCCUGUCGAGCGGGACGAAUGGCCCGCGAUUGAAUAGAUCGUGGGAAUGACGGUACCGCUAAAGGAAGCCACGGCUAACUCUGUGCCAGCAGCCGCGGUAAUACAGAGGUGGCAAGCGUUGUUCGGAAUUACUGGGCGUAAAGGGCGCGUAGGCGGCCUUCUAAGUCAGACGUGAAAUCCCCCGGCUCAACCUGGGAACUGCGUCUGAUACUGGAGGGCUUGAAUGCGGGAGAGGGAUGCAGAAUUCCAGGUGUAGCGGUGAAAUGCGUAGAUAUCUGGAGGAAUACCGGUGGCGAAGGCGGCAUCCUGGACCGACAUUGACGCUGAGGCGCGAAAGCUAGGGUAGCAAAC